UACGUAGGGUGCAAGCGUUGUCCGGAAUUAUUGGGCGUAAAGAGCUCGUAGGCGGUCUGUCGCGUCGGAUGUGAAAAUCCAGGGCUCAACCCUGGACCUGCAUUCGAUACGGGCAGACUAGAGUUCGGCAGGGGAGACUGGAAUUCCUGGUGUAGCGGUGAAAUGCGCGGAUAUCAGGAGGAACACCGGUGGCGAAGGCGGAUCUCUGGGCCAUUACUGACGCUGAGGAGCGAAAGCGUGGGGAGCGAACAGG
Molecule: ribosomal RNA, 253 nt
Filed under: uncultured bacterium
Lineage: Bacteria
Description: partial 16S ribosomal RNA
Rfam family: Bacterial small subunit ribosomal RNA
Source: RNAcentral